Molecule: ribosomal RNA, 496 nt
Filed under: uncultured bacterium
Lineage: Bacteria
Description: partial 16S ribosomal RNA
Rfam family: Bacterial small subunit ribosomal RNA
Source: RNAcentral
GAUGAACGCUGGCGGCGUGCCUAAUACAUGCAAGUCGAGCGAACAGAUGAGGAGCUUGCUCCUCUGACGUUAGCGGCGGACGGGUGAGUAACACGUGGAUAACCUACCUAUAAGACUGGAUAACUUCGGGAAACCGGAGCUAAUACCGGAUAAUAUAUUGAACCGCAUGGUUCAAUAGUGAAAAACGGUUUUGCUGUCACUUAUAGAUGGAUCCGCGCCGCAUUAGCUAGUUGGUAAGGUAACGGCUUACCAAGGCAACGAUGCGUAGCCGACCUGAGAGGGUGAUCGGCCACACUGGAACUGAGACACGGUCCAGACUCCUACGGGAGGCAGCAGUAGGGAAUCUUCCGCAAUGGGCGAAAGCCUGACGGAGCAACGCCGCGUGAGUGAUGAAGGUCUUCGGAUCGUAAAACUCUGUUAUUAGGGAAGAACAAAUGUGUAAGUAACUAUGCACGUCUUGACGGUACCUAAUCAGAAAGCCACGGCUAACUACGUG